CCUACGGGCGGCAGCAGUGGGGAAUAUUGGACAAUGGGCGAAAGCCUGAUCCAGCCAUGCCGCGUGUGUGAAGAAGGCCUUCGGGUUGUAAAGCACUUUCAGUGGGGAAGAAAGCCUUGGGGCUAAUACCCUCGAGGAAGGACAUCACCCACAGAAGAAGCACCGGCUAACUCCGUGCCAGCAGCCGCGGUAAUACGGAGGGUGCGAGAGUUAAUCGGAAUUACUGGGCGUAAAGCGCGCGUAGGCGGUCUGAUAAGCCGGUUGUGAAAGCCCCGGGCUCAACCUGGGAACGGCAUCCGGAACUGUCAGGCUAGAGUGCAGGAGAGGAAGGUAGAAUUCCCGGUGUAGCGGUGAAAUGCGUAGAGAUCGGGAGGAAUACCAGUGGCGAAGGCGGCCUUCUGGACUGACACUGACGCUGAGGUGCGAAAGCGUGGGUAGCAAACAGGAUUAGAUACCCCAGUAGU
This 464-nucleotide ribosomal RNA is filed under the name Vreelandella stevensii. Its description in RNAcentral is "partial 16S ribosomal RNA". It matches the Rfam family "Bacterial small subunit ribosomal RNA", at positions 338 to 794 of the family's 1533-position model. The record is from RNAcentral. Lineage: Bacteria; Pseudomonadati; Pseudomonadota; Gammaproteobacteria; Oceanospirillales; Halomonadaceae.